Molecule: ribosomal RNA, 531 nt
Filed under: Salinicoccus luteus
Lineage: Bacteria; Bacillati; Bacillota; Bacilli; Caryophanales; Staphylococcaceae
Description: bacterial SSU rRNA
Rfam family: Bacterial small subunit ribosomal RNA
Source: RNAcentral
UCCUGUGACGCGAGUGGCGGACGGGUGAGUAACACGUAGGCAACCUGCCCAUCAGACCGGGAUAACCACGGGAAACCGUGGCUAAUACCGGAUAAUCCUUUCCCGCACAAGCGGGAGAGUUGAAAGGCGGUCUUUUGGCUGUCACUGGUGGAUGGGCCUGCGGCGCAUUAGCUGGUUGGUGGGGUAACGGCCCACCAAGGCGACGAUGCGUAGCCGACCUGAGAGGGUGAUCGGCCACACUGGGACUGAGACACGGCCCAGACUCCUACGGGAGGCAGCAGUAGGGAAUCUUCCGCAAUGGACGAAAGUCUGACGGAGCAACGCCGCGUGAGUGAAGAAGGGUUUCGGCUCGUAAAACUCUGUUGUCAGGGAAGAACGCCGACGGGAGUAACUGCCCGUCGGGUGACGGUACCUGACCAGAAAGCCACGGCUAACUACGUGCCAGCAGCCGCGGUAAUACGUAGGUGGCAAGCGUUAUCCGGAAUUAUUGGGCGUAAAGCGCGCGUAGGCGGUUCGUUAAGUCUGAUGUGA